This 65-nucleotide microRNA precursor is filed under the name Blattella germanica (German cockroach). RNAcentral describes it as "Bge-Mir-133_pre stem-loop". It matches the Rfam family "mir-133 microRNA precursor family", at positions 14 to 73 of the family's 74-position model. From Rfam's summary of the family: mir-133 was first experimentally characterised in mouse and homologues have since been discovered in several other species. The mature sequence is excised from the 3' arm of the hairpin. The record is from RNAcentral. Lineage: Eukaryota; Metazoa; Arthropoda; Insecta; Blattodea; Blattellidae.
AGCUGGUUGAAUCCGGGCCAAAUUGUACGAGAGUUGAAGACAUUUGGUCCCCUUCAACCAGCUGU